This 578-nucleotide ribosomal RNA is filed under the name uncultured bacterium. Its description in RNAcentral is "bacterial SSU rRNA". It matches the Rfam family "Bacterial small subunit ribosomal RNA", at positions 102 to 694 of the family's 1533-position model. The record is from RNAcentral.
ACGGGUGAGUAACACGUGAGCAACCUGCCCUGGACUCUGGGAUAAGCGCUGGAAACGGUGUCUAAUACUGGAUAUGAGACGUGAUCGCAUGGUCGUGUUUGGAAAGAUUUUUCGGUCUGGGAUGGGCUCGCGGCCUAUCAGCUUGUUGGUGAGGUAAUGGCUCACCAAGGCGUCGACGGGUAGCCGGCCUGAGAGGGUGACCGGCCACACUGGGACUGAGACACGGCCCAGACUCCUACGGGAGGCAGCAGUGGGGAAUAUUGCACAAUGGGCGAAAGCCUGAUGCAGCAACGCCGCGUGAGGGAUGACGGCCUUCGGGUUGUAAACCUCUUUUAGCAGGGAAGAAGCGAAAGUGACGGUACCUGCAGAAAAAGCGCCGGCUAACUACGUGCCAGCAGCCGCGGUGAUACGUAGGGCGCAAGCGUUAUCCGGAAUUAUUGGGCGUAAAGAGCUCGUAGGCGGUUUGUCGCGUCUGCUGUGAAAUCCCGAGGCUCAACCUCGGGCCUGCAGUGGGUACGGGCAGACUAGAGUGCGGUAGGGGAGAUUGGAAUUCCUGGUGUAGCGGUGGAAUGCGCAGA